RNAcentral lists this long non-coding RNA (240 nucleotides) under Elaeis guineensis (African oil palm). RNAcentral's name for it is "long non-coding RNA (EGUI_LNC015317)". The record is from RNAcentral. Lineage: Eukaryota; Viridiplantae; Streptophyta; Magnoliopsida; Arecales; Arecaceae.
CUGUACUCCCUUGGAUAAUCUCCAUUGCCUUCCUUUUUGCCCAAUAAGCUUGGGAUAUUGAUAUUUGUGCAUUCAAAUUCUGUCUAACUUAUGCAACCAACUCACUGGGCUUCCAAGAGAGCUGACUCUUGAAUCUUUCAACGUACUUAUUGGUUAGAUAACUUGAUUUCAUAUUUCUAUUCCAAACUCCUUACAAUAUGUGUACUCACCAUGAAAAGACUUAAUCUAUAUAGUUGAUCC